This 954-nucleotide ribosomal RNA is filed under the name uncultured bacterium. RNAcentral's name for it is "bacterial SSU rRNA". It matches the Rfam family "Bacterial small subunit ribosomal RNA", at positions 335 to 1308 of the family's 1533-position model. The record is from RNAcentral.
ACUCCUACGGGAGGCAGCAGUCGAGAAUAUUGGUCAAUGGGGGAAACCCUGAACCAGCGACGCCGCGUGCUUGAAGAAGCCCUUCGGGGUGUAAAGAGCUUUUCUGGAGGAUGAAUCUUCGGAUGACAGUACUCCAGGAAUAAGGGGGUGCUAAUCACGUGCCAGCAGCCGCGGUAAUACGUGACCCCCAAGCGUUAUCCGGAUUUAUUGGGCGUAAAGAGUCUGUAGGCGGUCUGGAAGGUCUUUGGUUAAAGGCCCAGGGCUUAACCUUGGGAAUGCCAGAGAUACUGCCAGACUAGAGGGCGUUAGAGGCUGGAGGAACGGUCGGUGUAGGGGUGAAAUCCGUUGAUAUCGACCGGAACCCUAAAAGCGAAGGCAUCCAGCUGGGGCGACCCUGACGCUGAGAGACGAAAGCGUGGGGAGCAAAAAGGAUUAGAUACCCUUGUAGUCCACGCUGUAAACGAUGGACACUGGCUAUCUGAAGUGUCGACCCUUCAGGUGGCGAAGCUAACGCGUUAAGUGUCCCGCCUGGGAAGUACGGCGGCAACGCUAAAACUCAAAGGAAUAGACGGGGAUUCACACAAGCGGUGGACCAUGUGGCUCAAUUCGACAACAAACGAGGAACCUUACCAGGGCUUGACAGACUAGUGAAACCCUGACGAAAGUCAGGUCUACCCACAAGGACACUAGUCCAGGUGCUGCAUGGUUGUCGUCAGCAUGUACUUUGAAGCGCACGCUUAAAUGCGGUAACAUGCGCAACCCCUAUUGCUUGUUUUAUUAGUCAAGCGAGACUGCCCGGGAUGACCAGGAGGANNGUGGGGAUGACGCCCAANUCAGCAUGGCCCUUUGAUGCCCUGGGCUGCACACGUGGUACAAUGGGGCCGANAUGGGUUGCGAAAGGGUAACCUNNNCUAAUCCCAUCAAACNGNCCUCCCAGUUCGNAUUGAGGUCUGC